UUUCAGAAUUUUUGGUUUAUUUAAAUGUUACUUUAGGAUUAUUCAAUCAAGGAUGGAUUUCCAGGUUUCCAUACAGCUAGUAGAUUUUCUUAAAAUCAGAAUUAGUCUAGCCCACUAGAAAAUACCCUUUGUUCCUAUAUUGAUAGAAACCCAGUAUUCUUCCUUCCUGUUUUGCCUUCCCUGCCCUGGAUGCAAUGGGAGUAAACACAGUAGCAGGAUUUGUAUCACCAGCAGAGAGGAACAAUUGGAGCAGUGUUUAAAUUUGCAAGGUUUGAGGGUUGUAAUUUGAGUUUAUUUGAGGGAAGGGAGUGAAAUGUUUAUUCCACUCUAUUUUUAGAGGCUCUCUAUUGUGUUAUCCAUGCUUAUCACACAGGGACAAACGUUUUUCCAUAUAGCAAAUAUUUCUGAAUCUAUUCCAAAAAUAGCCUAGGAGCCAUGAGAUCCUAGGAAUAGGCUUCUCCCUCUAGUGGCGGCAGAAGGGAAGUUACAAUGCUGUCAGAUGAGGCAGUUAUGAAAAAUAAAAAGCAAGCUGUAUACAUGGUGAAAUAUCUGCGGUCUUUCCAACUUCAGAAAGAUUCGUAAGGCAAGAGAUAUGUUACCACUUUAUGGUGGUUCUUAGCCACUGAAGUACUCUCGAAAUACUUGUAAAGCUGAGACAUACCAAAAUAAGGAUAUGUUUCAUUUUUUUAAAAAAGAGCGAGGUUAAAGUAUAACUGAGGCACCUUAGUAAACAAAUGUUAAUGAGUUUGCUGUCCUACAUGUCUAACAGCAGCAAGCUUGUGUGGUGAAUGUUUAUUCUUCAUGGGCAGAGAUGGAAAAGAAGUUUGGUUGUAACCAUACUGCUGUGUCCAAUCUGUCUUGUGCUGGGGGAGCAGCAGAGCAGGCAUUGUACCUGGGAGUAACCCCUGGAGCUUGCUGAGCAUCUGUCCCUCCAGGUAAAGCCUGGCACUGGCUAGCAUGUUUCCAGAGCAGUUAUUGGAAAGAAAACAAGGUAAAACACUGCUGUGGCUGGGGUGCAGCUGAGCGUAGGCACCAGGUGAUGGGGGUUACCUUUGUGGGGCAGAAGCAGAGGUGUCCCUUGCUGGGCUGGGGCAGCAUGUGUGUGAGCUUGCGUGCUUUCUCAGUGAGCCUCCACGUGGGCUCUGGCAGCAGAGUGCUUCAUCGUGGAAGGUCCAAGGGGGAAAAACCAUGGCCAGUGUCUGUACUGCAGCUAACUAUGUGCAUGGUGUCCUCUGGGAUGUGGGAAACAGGACCUAUAAGGUCAUGUGCGUUGGUCCUUGAGUUUUGAGCUCUUUUGUCAGAGGAACUCUAGUGACUUCAAGGUAAAAUGUCAACUGUUUCUCGUUGUUAGGAUCGUGCAUGCCUUUCUAAUCAAGUUAAUGAUAUGGAGAUCCAAGGUUUGGGAAUAGAUUUUUGAAUUGUUUCAUUUCUUUGUGGUUCUUUGAAUUUCACUAUUCUGAAGGCAAGUGCUUGCUCUCCCACUGAGAGCUGACCUGUGGUCAAGUGAUUCCAGUGCUUAACAAAAACCACCAGGGAGUGCCUGACUCCCAGUGCCACCACAGACAGGCAGGGCAGUCUGGUUGCAACCUUGUGAGGCAGCUGACCCACAAUAUCUCUAGUGGCUGUUGCUUUGGAGCCUGUUCUGUGUUAGGGCUUUCUGAGGACAACUUCUGUCUUGGUGUAGGACGCCCUGGUUCCAGCAGCCCUGUUUGUGCCCACUGGAUGGUUACGGCUGCCUGAGCACACAGAGGUUGGGAGGCCUUGGCAGAAGGAUGUUUGUCUGAUACAUUUACCCAAGAGUAGAUGAGCUCAUUGCAGGCAUCUGCCCAGCAGCCAUCAUGCUGCCUGGAUGGUUCCUUAGGAUAUUAAUUACCAGCAGUGCAGGAAACAUGGUACCUUUUCUGCACUGUCUUCUCAUGUGAGAAGGCUUAAAUCUUAGGUACUUUCCAAAACAUAAAGCAGUAAGUCAGUCUCAACAUGGUCAUUCCUUUGCAUAGCGUCUUGCCCUUACUUAGCUCUGGCAGGUACCUGGUCUGCUCUUCCAGCCCCUUGCUUCUGCACUGUCCCCAAAAGCUGUUUUAAUUUUAUCUUACCUCCCUGUAAGGUUUCCUUUCAUUUGCUUCUGUUGCUUUUCUUAUCACUUUUUAUGCUCUCAACUUCAUUAUGCAAUUGUUCCAACUGUGCUCAGUAUUUGAUGUUUUAUAACUCGUGUCUGCCUCUUUUCCCCCCAUUGUUGAUUACUUUUACACUUCUGUUCCUUCACACUGGCUUUAAAAAUAAAAUACAAAAAACAACUUGAACGUUCCCCAUGCAAUUACUGUGAGGUGUUGUGCGUAACCCUUGGGCAUACAUUAAUUUCUUUGAACACCUAUUUCCUGUGUCCUUUCACUCCCUGGCUUGUAUUGAAUUUCCACCUGCACUUACUGAGUCUCCAAACUUUACUCUGCUAAAAAGUAAUCUACUUUUAACUUUUUAGUUGAAUAUUAAUCCUAGUGAAAUCCUUAAAGACUGUGGUCCCAAUUCUCCCCCACACCUGCAUCACCAGCUGUGUCAGAGAAGCCUUGCUUAAGAAUUACUCCUGACAAAAAGCCAUCACUUUUUUCAAGCUUCUUAUGAUGAAAAUGAUACUUUCAACCAGGCCAACUGUAAGACUGCACAGUAAGGAAAUAUUUUUUUCCCAGCAUCCAUAAAUUCAAUGGAAAAAUGGGUGUGGGAGCAGAUCAGGUGCAGCACUGGCUCCUCCUUGCCAGGCACGGAGGAGCGAAGCAGCAGGGACACUGGGGAGGUUCUCCCUGAUCUGCAACUCAUGAGACUCACACUAAAUAGUGACAUUUUCCCGAGGUGCUGAAUUGCUGGUGAAGGUGUUCAGUGAGGGAUGCUCCACGGAAUGAGUGUAGAGUGUCCAGCCUUUCCUCAACACAGGAGGGAACAGAUGGGUGUGUAUAUACUACAGACCUGAGAGCUGUCUUCCGCGUAUGACUUCAGCUUCUCUAGUGAGAAGCCUUCUGCAGAGUGACUUCAGGGCUACCCACACGUGGCUGUGGUCUGUCUGAAAUACCCCCAUGUGGUGAGGAGAGCUGUCCUGGCCAUGGCAGUGCCCCUAACAAGUCUGCUGAAAGGUACCUGUGUGGGAUGGGAUUGAGGUCACCCAGGGCAGCAUGAAGCACAGAAUGAUGGACAGAUGUCACAAUGCAGAGUGACAGCCUGUGGGGGGUCACACCAGCAAGAGAAACAAACUGCCCAGAUGUGGGUGGUUGAGCAAGGAGUGGAGAAGAGGAUUUCAUGUCCCCAUAACGUGUAGCUGUGCCCGAAAAAAAAAAAAAGGCACAGGUAUGUGCGGUGAGUGGGAAAGGAGACUGGUCCCUGAAGAAAGGGAGAGUGGCUGUUUGUGUACCUGCAGUCAUGAUACUUCCAUCAGUCUCCUUCAAAAGCCACCUUUGAGAGAAUUGACUUCUAGAUGCGUGGCAGUGGAACUUUACCAGGUGACUGUUUGCAUAAGUCAGGCUUCCCUAAUCUUGGAGCUAGCUGUGCAUACCUUAUCCUGGAGCUUUCAGUUUCCUGAAAAAUCAGAAAAUCCGCUUGCUUAUCAGCUCUAUGCAGUGUUUUGAAAGUGAUUGCACCGAGACCUCCUGCACACCGCACUGUGUAUGUGUGCAGUAGCCAUGUUAGCGCUUCGUGCUCACUGUUGUUGAGGUGACAAGUUUAUUUAGUGCAGGACUUCUAGCCUUGCAUGUUUCUUUGCCUCGUAGGAGGAGGUAUUUGACAUCAUCUGCGUGGAAUACGGUUGCUGAGAUUUGGCUCCGAGCUCCACCUUUCCUGGGUGUCCAUCACUGCCCAAGCACUGGGCAAACUGGAGCUGACAACCUGCCUUGCAGCUUCUAAUAAAAAUAAAUCUUUUUGUAUUAUUUUAAAACUGACUUCAAUAUGAGUAGAUGAAGAGGCUAUGAAAAUUCUUUGCCAAUAUCAGUGAAGAUUAGAUCCAAGAAAUAAUGUCUGCCUGUGAUAGGAAAUUCAUUAUUUCCCUUGCCCAUCAAAUACAGUUGUUGGCAACCUUCUGCCUUAAGUACACGAAGAUGAAGACAUCAAUAAUCCUGCAAAUUUGCGAGUGAAACCCAAUCUUUGCACGGCCCCCCCCAGCGUAUUGCUUCCUUUCACAUCCACGAUGUCUGCUCUGUCUGAACACCUUUGAAGAGCCGCAGGAGUUUAACUUCACUAUUAUAUUUCUGGCAUUUAAAGCCAAUGCUGACUCUGUUGAUUGGGCUUUGAUGCACCUGUCACUCAACAAAACACAGCUGAAAUGCAUGGAUGGAUACAGGUCCAUUUCUUUGUACCACCAAACUCGUCCUAGGCGUAUUAUUAAUAGUAUGAUCAAACCCCAACGGUAAUUAAAAGGUAUCUUCAAAAGUAUGUGGGGUUCCUCUGCAUAGAUUCUGCUGUAAGCGCCAACCUUGGCCUGCAUUGUGUUAGCAGAGCUUGUCCCUAGUGAGCUGUGUUUGUCCUGACUUCAGGUACAUCCAUCAGCUGUUACUUGAGCAACCAUUAGCUACUGUAUGGCGUGAACAAUCAAUGCCAAAAUAAACUUACUUGAGAUAUAAUCAUUGUUUUAAUCAUUUGAAGGGGCUGUAGGUUUUUCUGGACUUACCUAGAGCUGUAAAAUAGAGGAAGCUCUGGUUGUCCUUGUUCUGGAGUUUGCUGGAAGAAGUUCUACCACAAAGCUUUAGUCCUUCAACACUUUCCAGUCUUUCAAUAGCUUUUUUUUUUUAAAGGUUUCUUGGUAGAAAGUAAAGAAAAAAGGAGAAAAGAUCUAUGGAGGUUUGCUUCGGUCUAGUAAUCUUAGCCACACUGUCUUUUCUCUUCCUUCGCUAGAAAUGACACGAAUAGACAACAGGAGUCUAGAAAUGACACAAAUGGACAACAACAACAAAAAAGGGGGCCCGGAGCCUGGGCCAUGUCAGCAGGAUGGGUGUGCAGGAUGGCAGCAGGGGCUGGCACCAGUUUCGUUAGUGCAGUGACAACCGUAGGUUUGUGUAAAUAAUGUCAGGACAUGUAGCUACACUAAGGUACCAUACAACUGUGGAUGUGUGGUAACGGCUCAUCUGCUUGUUAAGUUUCUCCAGUGUGAACAAGUAAAAUUAUUAACCAGGUUAAUUAAAAUUAUGCCUUGUACAACUUUGUGUAACGUGUUUUGCAAUAUGGACUCGGUGCCUAUCUAUGCUACCUGGGCUAUGCAGGUGCCAUAGAUCACAUUGGAUCGGAAAUAUUUAAGGAAAGACAAAUCAGGAGGUUACGCUUUUGUCAGGAAAACACAUUUUUGCUUGCUGCACCUCCUGGGGCCUGCGUGUCUGUUUACAUAAAUUCAUAAUGCAGUGAUUUAACAAACUGAGCCUACCACCUGAAUUCUAUCUCCACUUUUUACAUGAUUUUUUUCUUUCAGUAUCGUGUGGGGACUAUCAUCAUUCUUUGUCUGGGAAGGUCUGCAGGCUUUAUACAGGGUCAAAGAUAAAAUAGGAAACAGGUUCAGCUGGAUCAGAAACAGCUUGCUUCUUUUUAUUUUAAGGAGUGUUUGGAUAUACCUUGAGAUUUUCAAUGCUAGUUGUUAUGAUGGGAUCCUGGUGCCUUCAAACACACCUAAACAUUCAGCAUCACCACCAUUUCGUUUGUAAUGCAAUAAAAGACGUCAUGUUUAAUUUUAUUUAUGGGCUCAAUAUUCAAGUUUUUCACAUGUAAUUUUUCCCGUGUGGACAUUUAGAUAUGUUAGAAACAUCAUUAUCUUCUGAUAUUAGGAGUAACAUGUUAAUAAGAAGAUUAGCAUCUCACUGAUGGACAAAAAUACUGUUUGAGCACUAUGCCAAGGCACGCACAUCCAAAAUGGGCCACAAAGCAAAGAGUACAGGCUGUGGAUGACUGGAACAUUGUAAUACUUUGUGCACUACCAAAUGCAAUACUCUCGCCUGUUUUAAUAUUAAAAUAUCAUUUCAAAUGUGCAUUAUUAAGAGUCUCUGCCUGUUAAUAGGCUUCCCCACUAAUAGGUGGUCAAAGGACUUCUUGACUUCAGCCUCUGCUGGAAGCAGGAGACAUCUGUGUCUUAGGCAAUCCUUUUGCACACAUGUGAAUGAAAUAAACUUGUCUGAUACUUAUUCUGUGUUUUUUUG
Long non-coding RNA from Cygnus olor (mute swan), 6152 nucleotides. RefSeq lists it as uncharacterized. The transcript is spliced from 3 exons. The record is from RefSeq and is a predicted model, not a curated record. Lineage: Eukaryota; Metazoa; Chordata; Aves; Anseriformes; Anatidae.